AGUGAACGCUGGCGGUAGGCCUAACACAUGCAAGUCGAACGGCAGCACAGUAAGAGCUUGCUCUUACGGGUGGCGAGUGGCGGACGGGUGAGGAAUACAUCGGAAUCUACUUUUUCGUGGGGGAUAACGUAGGGAAACUUACGCUAAUACCGCAUACGACCUACGGGUGAAAGCAGGGGAUCUUCGGACCUUGCGCGAUUGAAUGAGCCGAUGUCGGAUUAGCUAGUUGGCGGGGUAAAGGCCCACCAAGGCGACGAUCCGUAGCUGGUCUGAGAGGAUGAUCGGCCAACCUGGAACUGAGAACCGUCCCAGCUCCCAACGGAGGCAGCAGUGGGGAAUAUUGGACAAUGGGCGCAAGCCUGAUCCAGCCAUACCGCGUGGGUGAAGAAGGCCUUCGGGUUGUAAAGCCCUUUUGUUGGGAAAGAAAAGCAGCAGGUUAAUACCCCGCUGUUCUGACGGUACCCAAAGAAUAAGCACCGGCUAACUUCGUG
This 491-nucleotide ribosomal RNA is filed under the name uncultured bacterium. Its description in RNAcentral is "partial 16S ribosomal RNA". It matches the Rfam family "Bacterial small subunit ribosomal RNA", at positions 29 to 507 of the family's 1533-position model. The record is from RNAcentral.